GGGAUUGAGGUGUCAGCGGCAGCAUACUCGGCUCUUAACCGAGGUGGUGACGGUUCAAGUCCGUCCGAUCCCAC
Molecule: transfer RNA, 74 nt
Filed under: Thalassoglobus neptunius
Lineage: Bacteria; Pseudomonadati; Planctomycetota; Planctomycetia; Planctomycetales; Planctomycetaceae
Description: Planctomycetes bacterium KOR42 tRNA-Lys
Rfam family: tRNA
About the family: Transfer RNA (tRNA) molecules are approximately 80 nucleotides in length. Their secondary structure includes four short double-helical elements and three loops (D, anti-codon, and T loops).
Source: RNAcentral